Molecule: transfer RNA, 66 nt
Filed under: Pecten maximus
Lineage: Eukaryota; Metazoa; Mollusca; Bivalvia; Pectinida; Pectinidae
Description: tRNA-Tyr
Rfam family: tRNA
About the family: Transfer RNA (tRNA) molecules are approximately 80 nucleotides in length. Their secondary structure includes four short double-helical elements and three loops (D, anti-codon, and T loops).
Source: RNAcentral
AGCAAGGUGGCCGAGAAGUAGGUGAUGGGCUGUAAACCUGUUUACGGGAUUUUAUCCCCCUUGCUA